Molecule: ribosomal RNA, 253 nt
Filed under: uncultured bacterium
Lineage: Bacteria
Description: partial 16S ribosomal RNA
Rfam family: Bacterial small subunit ribosomal RNA
Source: RNAcentral
UACGUAGGGUGCAAGCGUUGUCCGGAAUUAUUGGGCGUAAAGAGCUCGUAGGCGGUCUGUCGCGUCGGCUGUGAAAUCCCGAGGCUCAACCUCGGGUCUGCAGUCGAUACGGGCAAACUAGAGUAUUGCAGGGGAGACUGGAAUUCCUGGUGUAGCGGUGAAAUGCGUAGAUAUCUGGAGGAACACCGGUGGCGAAGGCGGCAUCCUGGACCGACACUGACGCUGAGGAGCGAAAGCCAGGGGAGCAAACGGG